AGGUCCAGUUAAGAACAUCUGCAACAAUUGCCUGUGAGCUUAAAUUAGUUAUUUAUUUGUUAAAAAUCCAACACUUAGAACGAUCAAGCAACUUUUGAGGGCGCACACCACCAAAGCCCUCAACCCCAGUAUCAUCCUAAAGUCCGACACGCCAAUGUCGUAACCGAUCAGAGGAAAAUCCGAGGUCCUCAAAGUUUCUGUUAUUUCGUAUCCGAAGGUUCCCCUACAGUCGAUUAGAGGAGGACUUUCUUCAUCAAAUGGUGUGACCUUCGGGAACCUCGUAAACGGCCAAGGACUGGACGCAGAUAAGUCCAAGAUAUCAGUUCUUCGCGAUUUCCAAUCUUGUCGUUAUAAUAUAUUAUUCGAAUUUCCUUUCUUAAAAAAAAUUUAUUUCAAUUUUCAAAUUUUCCUUUUUAAAUUUCAAUUUUUAUGCAACUAUUAGUAAUUUUUUAUAACUUAUAAUUUCAAUUAAUGUGAGCGAGCGAAUUGGCCAAUUCUAACGUAAAAAUUCGUGUCAGUAGUUGAUUUAACCAUCUGGUCACAAGAGUAACUUUUAAUAUACGGAAUUUUAAUUGAUUAUUCAAUAGUUUUCUUAUCUCCUUCUCAGUUGGGAGCUUAGUUAUCGAUAACUGAGUGGCGCCCUUAAAUUUUUAGCUAACUUAAACCAUCAAUAGUAAAAUCCUUGUCCCACGACCUGCCACCGACUAAAAAGACCUACCGCCCUUGUGUACCUGUUGCGAAUAUAAACAAACCAAAAAAAAAAGGUAUGCAAUAACGGCACAUUUUAAUUUAAGGGAGAAAAAUAAUUUAAAUAUAGAGUACUUACGACUAGAUAAAAGCAAAAUUUCAGCAGAUCCGGUGUGCACGAUCGGUUUGCAGUAGUAAAAUGCUUCCACUGCUGGGAGUACGGGCACAAAACAAAGGACUGCUCAGGUGAGGAUAGAAGGCAGAGAUGCCGAAAAUGUUCGCAGAUAGGCUAUUUCUGGAACAACAGCUUCGAUGCCCCCUGUGUAGUUCGGAAGGACAAAUGCCGGGAGCGGCAUACUGCGAGAGUUUCAAGAAAGCAAUGAGAAAUGCAAUCCAAACGAGGAACCAAAGUAAGCCUUGUAGAAUGACUUCAAGAAACGACGCUCUGGAACGCUACCUCCGGGAACAGGUAGAAGAGCCCAUUGGUGACUGACGGCGUUUGCGGGGAGGGGGAAGCCCACACCCGCACCCACUGACGGACCGGGACAAGGAAAACCAGAACCAGCUAUGGGCUUCCAACAACGACAACGACAGAUGGCCACAGUUAGUACCAAUAUAGUGCUGCUCUGUAUCCAGCUAAACACCAACCGGAGCCAGACAGCACACGACUGUCUAACGCAGAUGGCCAUUGAGGAACGGGCGGAUAUCCUGUUUGUAACGGAACCCAACAAGAGACUCAUCGCUAAGGGAGGAUGAUCCUAUGACAGAAACCUGGACGUAGCAAUCAGAGUCAUUAAUCCGCAACUCAGAGUGGAACACCAAGCCUCGGGGCGGGGGUGGGCCUCGGUGCAAGUGGGAAUAUGCACAAAGAUCAGUGGUUACAUUCACCAAAUGUGCCCAUUCAACAAUUCCUUGAGGAGUUAAGGAAGACACUACGAGACAUGCGAGAAAAAAUCCUGUUAACGGGCGAUUUCAAUGCCAAGUCUCACGCAUGGGGCUCCGGUACCGAGGACCGUAUGGGCAGUGCCCUAGCGGACCUCCUGGCAGAAUUAAACCUAGUAGUGGCCAAUGUAGGAAAUUAAUUGGUGAAACAUUAUUGUUCUUUCAGAAAACAGUUUAACUUUAAAAAAGUUACUAGGAAUAUCUCAUUAAAAUGAUGAAAACUUCUUUAAACCCGCUUUUUCGUCUGAUAAUUUUAUCCAGGUAAUAAAUUCUGAAAAAUACAUUGUUGUAAAAAUUUAUUGUAACUAUACCCAGUAAUAAUUAUAGUACAAAUAACGUGUCGAGAGAUUGUAAGAUCCAGUCUUAGGGAUAUAAUUUGUUUACGUUACGCCUAGUAAAAUAAAUGAUACUUUUAUAAUUAUGUAUUAUUUUAGAAUUUAGGAAUUAUUUCUCGUUUUUUUAUUAAAUUUAUACAAUUUUUCUAUUACUAGCUUGCGAAGAUAUAGCUGCGUUACUCUUACAUUAUAUAAAUUUUGUGUAUUUCUUUAAAAUAUAAGUAAACAUUGCUAAAGAUCGGGUACCUGAAACUGAAAUCACAUGUAAACAAAAAUGUUUAUUAGAAAGUUUAGAAAGUUUUUCAUAAGCUCUUGUAUUUAGUGGAGGGUUUUAUUUUAUACGUGGGAGUUAAAAAUAAAAAUUGUAAAAAAUGUAUGUAUUAUAAGAAAAAAAACCAAACGACGCCCCCUCAUAAAUGUUUUAAAAAUUGGAAAAACACUUCAACUUCAAUGGAAGCAGCAAUUAUUUUGGAUGGAUUUAAAAAAUAAGUAGACAUGCAUAACGUAAGAUUUAAAAACCUCAUAGGAGAUGGUGAUAGUAGCGUCUACAAAAAAAUUCAUAAUGCAAGACCAUACGGGCCUAAUUAUUUUAUUAAAAAAAUUGAAUGCCGAAAUCAUAUACUACGAAAUUUUUGUACUAAAAUUAGAGAAAUCGCUAAAACUCCUCGUUCUGACAUAAAUAUAAAAAAAUUUUUGCGCAACAAUUAUUUGAAAUUUAGAACCGCAAUUGUUUCAGCGAUAAAAUACAGAAAAAACGAAAACUGUACUUUCGAUCAAAAAGCAGAAAACCUGAAAAAUGAUAUUUUAAAUGGACCUGCACAUAUUUUUGGUAAUCAUUCAAAGUGCGCUACGUAUUUUUGUAAAACAGUUGGUCAAAUAACAAAUGCAGUUGCAUAUUCUGACUUUAAAAAUAGUUCCUUGUUUGAGUUGUUCAUGCAGGCAUUAAAACGAGUUGCAAAUUUAUCUUCAAGUCUAUUGUAUGAUGUCGAUAAUAAUUCUGUUGAGUCAUUUAAUUCAGUAGUUAACAAACUUGUUCGGGGUAAAAGAAUAAAUUUUUCAGAACGCGGUUCUUAUCAUGGAAGAUGCUUUGCGGCAGUCGUAAAUGUAAAUAACAAAAACAAAUUAAUUUGUAUUUAAAAUUAUGGAGAAAAUAUCAGGGAAUAGUGGCAUUUACACCACAAAAUUUUCAAAUCGCUUAUUAAAAACCAAAGAACUUCAAGCUACAAAAUUAAAUAAAAGAAAAAUUCGUAUUCAAAGUGCAGAUUCGGAUUAUGGUGCGACUAAUGACAUAAUGGACAUGCCAACAGAAACAUAUGACAAAAUAAAAAAUGAGUUCUUGAAUGAUUUGGCUGCUUGCGAUAUUUUAAAAAUUCCUUUGUUAACAAUUGGUCAACGUAAUAAUGAGCAGUGGGAUAAAGAAAGAAAUAAUAAAUUAACGGCUAGUAAUUUCGGAAGAAUUAUUAAUAUGAAAUGUACGACCAAUACAGCGAAUGCUGUAAAAGAUAUCUUGUAUCGUGUGGGAUUAUCUAAAUUUAAAAAAUUACCCGAACCACUACAGUGGGGAACUGAUAAUGAAGAGAAAGCAAAGGAGAAGUUUGAACAGAUCACAGGUAUAAAGGUAGAUUCAUGCGGCUUUUUUGUUGAUAAAGAAAAAAAAUUUUUAGGUGCAACACCAGAUGGGUUAGUGGGUUCAAUGCUAUUGUUAAAAUUAAAUGUCCAUUUAGCGCAAGAAACACAAAUAUUAAAACUGCCAUAGAACAAAAAUUGAUUAAAUACUUAGAAAUAGAUUCUCAAGAUGAUAGUAAAAUAGUUUUAAAAGAAAAAGAUAAUUACAUGCAUCAAGUACAAGGUCAGCUCCACAUUACUAAUCGCCAAACUUGUUAUUUUAUAGUGUACACCUCUACAGAUUUAAAAUAUUGUAUUAUUGAGAAAAACGAUAGUAAAUAUUGGAACGGAGGAAUGAUAGAUUGUCUUUAAAAUUUUUAUAUGAAUGCCAUGUUACCAGAAAUAAUUGAUUCAAGACAUAGUCGCAAUUUACCAUUACGCAGCAUAAUAAAAAAGGAUUUGUAAAUAAUAUUUCAAGUUUAGUUUUAGAGAUUUUUACAUAAAUACAUAAUAUGAUGAUAAGCAUUUUAAUAAUAAUUAUAAUUUUUAAUUUGAACAAUAAAAGUAAAAAAAAACUUCCUCAGUGGGUUGACACCUUGUCGUGGUGAGGGAGCUCAGUAGUUCUAUCACAAAACCUGUACAGAACGAAGCUAAGUACCAAAGUUUUAAUCAUCUUUUUUUAUAUUUUUUUUUAAAACAGGAAUAAUUUUAUUGUUAAAAGUAUUCAAAAAAAUAGCGAGCGUGAUUACUCGUAUUUCAAAAUCUCAUAAGAUACGUUGAUAGCAGUGUCUACACAAAAAAAACGUAAUGCAAAUCUAUAGGUAUCUAAUUAUUUUGUUAAAAAAAUUAAUUCCGAAAUCAUGUGCUUUAAUUUUAUACCAUUAUUAGAGAAAUCGCUAAAAUUCCUAUUUGUGCCGAUACAUUUCUCUGUCUUGAACAAAGGCAAUAAAAUUAUUAUCUUGUGGGUCACCCCAAUGGUGGUUACCUCCAGCGGUGCGUCCUAAACCCGUCAUAAAUCUUCUUCCAGCUAGCUACGCAUUCGAAGAAGGAUGCAUUAAAAGUUGCCUACUUACAAUUUAAUUUUUGCUUUAUAUCUAUCAAUUAAGAACAGUUAACAAAAAUCUAAAAUAUCUCAGGUCUGUAUUUUUAAAUUUCCUAUAAAAUGGUUUAUUUAAAUUCUCAAUACAAUGCACCGUUAUCAAAAAUUCGUAUCAACUUCAUUAACAGACAUUUUAUUUAAUAAAAAAAUAUCUAGCCAUUUAUUUUAAUCAAGAAUGUUUCUUGGAACUACAUUUACUUAUAAAGAAACACUGCAAAUGUCAAGAAACUCUUCAAGUCUAAAUUUGUGGCUAAAAACAGUAAAAACAGUUUACACGUAAAACGUAUGCGCCAGCUCCCAGAGGGUCUUGAGCCUUUUAAGUUACUAGAGCAGGCAAGCUGCUGCGCGAUCAUGUUUUGAGCCAUGCAAAUGAGCGAUAAACACACAUUUAACAAUAGCAAAUAAAAACAAAAAGGUAAUAAUAAUUGCGACCGCAGAAAGGUAUAAAUAACUCCUCGAAUAAUUUUUUUAAUAAGAAGGUGACGCGGAUUUAUGCAAAAGUGGAAUUUGCAAGUAAGAUUUUGUUGUGUUUGCGAGCUGUUUGAGUUUAGGUCACUGUGGGAAAAUUGAGGAAAGUUACAUUAGUUUCUUACCAAGGACAUUAAAACUAUUAUCACGUUGCCAUUCAUUGCUAUUACCAAACUACUAAGCACUACAAAGCAACUACCACCCCGUCUGCAUGAUACGAAAGCGGCUAAAGAGACCCAACGUCUGUUUUAACCGGAGCGGAGCGUCUGACCGACCACAACAUUCAACACUACCGCUAUUCGAGAGUACAUUAAAAUUUGUUGUAAAUCGACAAGGACAACAAGUCAAACGGUAAUGUUGUGGGAAAGAGACUGCUGGUAGACCUGCAUAGUGCAGGACGUGUCCCGCCAACAUUUCUUCGUUUUUCCAGACGCAGGACAGUCGGCCGGAAGCCACUGUAUCACUGUGUUUCCCGCUAAAUACUUCACUGGCCAAAUGGAGAAAGAAAGUUGUGAUUAAUUGUUGGUUUACGUGAAACGUAAAGUGUUGAACAUCAUGAAGCUUUUCAGGAGCUGAUCAGUUAAUUUCCAACUUCAGGAACUUGACGCCUAAUUAUUAUAAAUUACGUAUUAUGAUGUAUUCAUUUAUUGUUGCUACGCUUUUUAUUUGCUGUUUCUCUUGAUUUCGUUUUUGGAAAGAAAGUGUCAAUUAACUUCCGAUCGAUUUGGGAAAUCCAUUUCAUUCACCUGUUCUUCACGGCUUGGCUAACAUUCGUCCAUCAACUAGAACAUCGUCGCCGAAGAAAAGAAAAUAAUUUAAAUUUUCCACAUUUUUUUACCAAAACGGAUUUUAGUACAAUAAGUAUUGACGUUAUUUCCCACAACUUUUGGCCAAACGUAUUUGCAUACAAAUAAUGGAAUUUAACGAAACAGAUCAAAGUUUCAAGUUUAAAAAUCAAAGGGAAAACUUUGCAGAUAAUUCAUAUUUUCGCCCUAGGGGAAAGAAUAAACUUAUCGGAAGUAUUGGAACUUUUCACAUGAUUGUAUUUUUCUUUUUUGUACGGCGUAUUUCCCACUUUGUUGUAUAACCAUCAGGCACGGGGAACUUUAGACGGGUGCUGCGAUUUAAGAUUGCCGAUGAGUAAUGAGUUAAGUUUUCUUCCUCUUUAAUUAACAUUUAAUGAAUACUACAUCACUCCAUCUUCCCUUCUUUUUACCUUAUUUCACGUGAUUGACUAAGAAGAAUAAUUAAUUAUAUGCGGACUCGCGUGUUGCUUAUAAUUUUGUCAUAACAGCAUUGUAAUUAGCGUCUAAAGUUACCCUUGUAAUACAUGCACACAACUUUUAAGAAAGACUUUCGAAAAGUUUGACUCCAAUCACCUUCUCAAUACAUUUAAAUUAAGUGGCGCAUUUAGUUAAUUGUCUAUUUGUUGCAAAUGUUAAAUUAAUAUUAAUAACAGUAUCGCAAUCAUUUUAAGUACAUGCAGCUGCAGAAAAAAUGAAAAUUAAGACACGCUGUAGACUUUAGGUCUUUUACUCGUACUUCUUGUGUAGGAUUGCAGAAAAUUAUUUUUUUUGCACAGAUUAAAUUCAUCUGUCAUUAGCAUAACUCGCAGAACUUUUCUGAUUUUGAUGUUUAUUUCAGUCGUAAUAACUUAAAUUGUAACUUUUUGUAAUUAUUUCCAGUUUUAAUUUAUUUGGGGGAGUUCUUUAUUAUUAACGAUACGAAAUGUAGGAAAAUUAAAUAAGCCUAAAAAUGUAUUUUCCAAAUGUGGCCACUGACUUAUGCAAUACCGAUUACACAUUCAAAUAAAGAGUUAUCUACAAGUUAAAUUAUGUAUAUCUAUUAAACCAAUGUACCUAUUUAAUAUUUAUGGUAUUAUUUGUUGAAAUCUCAUUUAAUUUAAAAAAAAAAGCUAUUUGUUGUUAAUGUAUUUUUUGCCACAGUGAAGUGAGUCAAGUGCGCAAAAAUUUGGUAAUUCCCCGGUCAUGGUUGACGGCCAUCGAGUGAAAUCACUCAGAAGUGAAGAUGUAUCUGUGUAUUUAAAGACUUUCACGGACGCGUACCGGAGUCUAAUUGCUGGCCAGUAAAUUAUGUAAAUUUCCACACAUGAAGCGUUUAUACCUAUAAACACAGAAACGAAACUAGUUUCAAACAGUUUGUGUUGCGCUUUGGCGGGAGCACAGUAUUUGAAAAUAAUUUGUAGAUUUAGUGGCACUCUAUAAAUAAAACGAGAACGAGUUUGAUCGAACUUUCAUUUACGAUAUGAUGACUAAACCUUGCGGCUAAUGUGUUACUUGCUAUAAUUUAUUGCGGCUACAGUCAUUAUCAAGUGUAGUGUAGUUUGUUAUUCGAAAAUUGUAACUAGCAAUGUAUCAGUUUGUGUUUACAACUGGCUUAAAUGGGGACUCGGAAUUUCAUAAGGAUUUGAGCGCAACGAACAAUCUUUGCAAACUAGUGCAAGUAACUGUAAAUGCGUCUUCAGCGGCUAAUUGUGGAAGACGAUGGUGAAAAAUUGCUACGUCUUUUUUAUUUUAGUGGUGCUUGCGGUAACGGUGUAUAUUGCAGAGACGCGACCUCAAUUUAAAGAGUCGCUUGAAGCCAUCUCCAAAGUGACUGAAGGGAUUAAUGAUAGCGCUAUCACUUUUAUUAAACAUCUAACCGGCGAGGCGUUAAAAGAUGACAAGAAUAAAACUAAAACCAGGAUUUUGUUCCGAGGGGAUUUGCUGGGCGGGGAGUUCGGCGACCAGGACAUAAUAUUUCCCGACACGUACCAAGUGAUUUUCAAUGAUGUUCCGAAAAUCGACGGUCCUCCUAAGUGUGCCGAAGGCAACACUUUUUGUGAGGACUUUGAUUCUUAUCCUUACAACCACGUGAAAAACGUGCUUAAGCGCAAGCGGGUGCAUACUGAUUUAUUCGGCAAGGACGAACCCCUCGAUGAGCGCUACAGCAUCACCAACAGAAACGGCGACUUCGAGGCGUUCAUCUGCACGAGCAUAUCCAAAACGAUUUUCCCCCGAGUUGGCAUCAACAAAAACAACAAGUGGAAGGUCAUAAUCAAUCAAGAGGAAGACGGAUACAUUCAAGGGAUUAGGACGGAAAUUUGCCGAAAGUAAAGGGUUGAAAGUUGAUUUCUGUGUCGGUGACAGAGUGUUGCGGGGAAGGGGCGGCUUGUGACCUCAUCGGCGACAGGGCGAACGGCUACAUAACCAGCUGCAAGCAAAAAUACAUGUUGCGGAGGAUGAUGUCUUUAUCUGAAAAUGGGGAUCCCGUCCCGGACACAUUCCAGUUACCGUCAGCCUGCUGCUGCUCUUACAGGAAGGAUCUGAGUUUUUUGUCCCGAUUUGGCGCCGACGAUGUUUCCUUAAGGUCGAAAGGGAAAGGAAAAUAAAAUAAAGAAUGUGAUAUAAGUUAUGUGAUUGAACUUUUUAUUGUAAAAACGGCAGCGGGAUUAUUUAUUGAAUAAAAUCAUACAGAAGCAAACCACAACCAAUGAACGAACCCUUCUCCCCACCUCUGGCCGAAACCCUAAACCCUUUCAACUUUCCUAAUCACUUAUUUACGAUUCUAUUCAACAUUAUUCUUCGUGGCUGCAAACGUCGAAUGUGGGUGAAGUGUGUUUUCGUCUGUGUUUAUUUUAUGACUAUGGAAGUGGUUAGUUAUUUCUUUUCUCUUUUUCUGGAUUUUCUUAUAGUUUUUUUAGUCAGUAUUCAAGCAAGUCCAGCCUGGCAGAGAAACAAUCACAUCGUUUUUCCGAACUCGCUAGAAGAGCAUGAAACUUUCAUUGCUCCAAAGUGUAGCGGUAACAAAACAUUUUGUGAGGACGUCGGACAUUACCCCAAAAAUAAAUUUAGCGUAAUAUUAGAAAACACCACAUACGGGGAAGAUUAUUUCAUGCCGCAAAGCACCGCCGAGGAAGAAUCUAUCAAAAAUCGAUUGUACGGAGUAACUGAAUAUUACAUCUGCAAUUCUCACGUCCAAACGCAAUAUCCCAAAGUGGCGCAAAACGUCAGAAACGAGUGGAAAUAUGUUUACAAUUUUGAUAACUACAAGCAAGGCGUAAGGACAGAAGAAUGUGUAGCUGAAACAGCUUGCAGAUCAUUCCAGGGAACGCCGCGGGAAGUUAGGACGAAGUGUAUGCAAAAGUACAGCGAUAUGUUGCUGUUGGUUGCCGAUGAAUACGGAAAACCUGUGUGGGAUUUAUUCUGGUUUCCUUCCGCCUGUGUCUGUGCAUACGAACCAAUUAUUAAUUUUAACCGAGUUUAGGAGAGUUUGCUGACAACUAAUUUUCCUUAAAUUGCGAUCAAUAGACGUGUCUUUGAAGCUGAAAUGUUAUACCAUUUCCCGGUACAAUAAAACUUUGAUUCUAUA
Molecule: RNA transcript, 9507 nt
Organism: Tribolium castaneum (red flour beetle)
Lineage: Eukaryota; Metazoa; Arthropoda; Insecta; Coleoptera; Tenebrionidae
Exons: 7
Source: RefSeq, a predicted model, not a curated record